RNAcentral lists this transfer RNA (66 nucleotides) under Campylobacter hyointestinalis. It matches the Rfam family "tRNA". Rfam says of the family: Transfer RNA (tRNA) molecules are approximately 80 nucleotides in length. The record is from RNAcentral. RNAcentral also lists the same sequence under 1 other name. Lineage: Bacteria; Pseudomonadati; Campylobacterota; Epsilonproteobacteria; Campylobacterales; Campylobacteraceae.
GAGAUAGAGCAGUGGUAGCUCGUCGGGCUCAUAACCCGAAGGUCGGAGGUUCAAGUCCUUCUCUCG